Molecule: ribosomal RNA, 448 nt
Filed under: uncultured bacterium
Lineage: Bacteria
Description: bacterial SSU rRNA
Rfam family: Bacterial small subunit ribosomal RNA
Source: RNAcentral
UGAGGAAUAUUGCACAAUGGGCGCAAGCCUGAUGCAGCAACGCCGCGUGGAUGAUGAAGGCCUUCGGGUUGUAAAAUCCUUUUUCUGGGGAAAGAUAAUGACGGUACCCCAGGAAUAAGUUCCGGCUAACUACGUGCCAGCAGCCGCGGUAAAACGUAGGGGACGAGCGUUAUCCGGAUUUACUGGGCGUAAAGCGCAUGUAGGUGGCUUGAAAAGUUGGACGUGAAAGCUCCUGGCUUAACUGGGAGAGGUCGUACAAAACUAGCAAGCUUGAGGUUGGAAGAGGAGAGCAGAAUUCCCGGUGUAGUGGUGGAAUGCGUAGAUAUCGGGAGGAAUACCAGUGGCGAAAGCGGCUCUCUGGUUCAAUACUGACACUGAGAUGCGAAAGCGUGGGGAGCGAACGGGAUUAGAUACCCGCGUAGUCCCUGAGCGGGCUGGCAAGGCGCAU